RNAcentral lists this long non-coding RNA (661 nucleotides) under Ananas comosus (pineapple). Its description in RNAcentral is "long non-coding RNA (ACOM_LNC013932)". Lineage: Eukaryota; Viridiplantae; Streptophyta; Magnoliopsida; Poales; Bromeliaceae. The record is from RNAcentral.
AUUAAGGAGUUGAUUUGGAAGUGAUUUUAGAGGCUGUUUGGUUAUAUGUAGUUACAACUAUAUUAUAGUUGUAACUGUAUAUAGAUCUAAAUUUGAUAUUUGAUUUUAGAAUUAAUUUCAUACAUGUUCCUAUAAAUAUAGUGAAUUAUAAAUAUAUUCCUACAAAAUUCAACUUUUAUAUGUUGUCCACUUGUCCCUACAAAACUCCUAAUAUUUUCAAAUAUGACCCUUUGGUUUGUUACCGUUAAAGCAUUGGUUAUUUUAUAAGUGAAAUAAUUUUUUUUGCCAUCACAAGUAUGUCCCUCCAAAAAUUCCAACCCUUAAUUAAAAAAGGAUAAAAAUGUCAAUUUACCUCAUUAACUAACUAAGGUCAAGUAUUUUACCUAUGGUUAAUUAUUUUUUUCUAACGGAGAGGCAUAUUUGAAAACAUUAGGACUUUCACAAAACAACAUAUGAAAAUUAAACUUAAUAUAAAUAUAUUUGUAAUUCACUAUAUUUACAAAGAUCUGUAUGCAAUUAAUCCUUAAUUUUAUAUAUUUGAAAUCUAACCAAUCAAAUUUCAAGAAGCCUCAUAAAGUGCUUUCUUAGGAGUUUUUUUUUUUUUUUUUUUUUUGAGAGAGAUAGGUAGCACGCUACUCGCUUCGUUUAUUUCAUUUAGAAA